RNAcentral lists this ribosomal RNA (106 nucleotides) under Ursus americanus (American black bear). Lineage: Eukaryota; Metazoa; Chordata; Mammalia; Carnivora; Ursidae. The record is from RNAcentral. RNAcentral also lists the same sequence under 1 other name.
GUCUACGGCCAUACCACCCUGAACGAGCCUGAUCUCGUCUGAUCUCAGAAGCUAAGCAGGGUCGGGUCUGGUCAGUACUUGGAUGGGAGAAGUUUGUCUUUCGACC